Long non-coding RNA from Orcinus orca (killer whale), 1757 nucleotides. RefSeq lists it as uncharacterized. NCBI's taxonomy places the organism in Eukaryota, Metazoa, Chordata, Mammalia, Artiodactyla, Delphinidae. The record is from RefSeq and is a predicted model, not a curated record. The transcript is spliced from 3 exons.
AAUGAAGAACCGAGGGUAGUUGCUUUGGUGAAGGGAAUAUCUCUGGGCUGAAUGUCUUCUCCUUGCCUCGCUUAUCCACCUCCAGACUUCUCGCCUGCCCUCGGCUCUACAAGGCUGAUCGGAAUGGAGCAUCCACAAGCUCCUCUCCUGUAUCCUGAGCUUUUGGUUGGGCUCAGCCAUCUGUUACCUGCUGGGACUCUGGCUGAUAAAACCUCUAAGGUCAUGAUGGGUCAGCUCCAACUUCAAGCUGCAAGUUUGAUAUUUUCUAGAAAGCAAUGAUAUCCGUGGCCCUUUACCCUAUAAACCCAUCCAUCUUCCAAGAGGGAACGUCUGGCUGCCUAGGAGCAAGGAUCGAGGGAGGGCUGGUCCAAGAGAUCUGCUCUGCAUGGCUCUGGGGAAGCCAUUCUGGCCCAAGGCAAUGCAGUGCUCAUUCUGGGACCUCUGCUGCCUCACUGAGGAAGAUCUGUCCAUUGGUGUCAGUAGGGUGUAAGUCUCCUACUAUCAUUGUAUUCCAGUCAAUUUCUCCCUUUAUGUCUGUUAGUAUUUGUUUUAUAUAUUUAGGUGCUCCUAUAUUGGGUGCAUGUAUUAUUGAGCGUAAUAUCCUCUUCUUGUAGUGAUCCCUUUAUCAUUAUAUAAUGUCCUUCUUUUUCUUUAUGGACUUUGUUUUAAAGUCUAUUUUGCCUGAUAUGAGUAUUCCUACCCCUGUUUUCUUGUCAUUUCCAUUUGCAUGAAAUAUCUUUUUCCAUCCCCUCACUUUCAAUCUGUGUGUCUUUCUCCCUGAAAUGAGUGUCUUGUAGGCUGCAUAUUAUAGGUUCUUGUUUUGUUUUUUUUUUUGUGGUAUGCGGGCCUCUCACUGUUGUGGCCUCUCCCAUUGCGGAGCACAGGCUCUGGACGCACAGGCUCAGUGGCCAUGGCUCACGGGCCCAGCCGCUCUGCGGCAUGUGGGAUCUUCCCAGACUGGGGCACGAACCUGUGUCCCCUGCAUUGGCAGGUGGACUCUCAACCACUGUGCCAUCAGGGAAGCCCUAGGUUCUUGUUUUUUUAUCCAAUCUGCCACUGUGUCUUUCGAUCAGAGCAUUUAGUCCAUUGACAUUUAAAGUAAUUAUUGAGAGGUAUGUACUUAUUGUCAUUUUAAACCUUGUUCUCCUGUUGAUUUUGUAGUUCUUCUUUGUUCAUGUCUUCUUUUUUGUUUUUCCUUUUGUGGUUUGAUGGUUUUUUAAAUAUUAUGUUUGAGUUUCCUUCUUUUUGGUUUUUGUGAAUCUAUUUUAUGUUUUUAAUUUGUGGUUACCCUGGUUUUCAAGUAUGUUGACCCAUAACUAUAUCUACUUGCUUUAAACUGAUAGUCAUAUAAGCGCAAACACAUUCUAAACAAUCUACAAUUUUUUAGUCCCCUCCUCCAAAUUUUGUGAUUUUGAUGUCCUAUUUUACAUCUUCAUGUUUGCUUUUGCUAUUAAUUGUAGAUAUAAUCACCUUUACAACAAUUUUUUGAUUGUUUUUUAAUCUAUGUACUGGCUUAAGUGAUCUUCAAUCCUUUUAUAUAUUUGCCUUUCCUAUUGGGAUUAUCCCUUUCCUAUAGAUUCUUGCUUUUCUAUUUAGAGAAGACCUUUCAAUAUUUCUUUUUUUUUCUUUUUUUUUCCUGGCUGCACCACAUGGCAUGCGGGAGCUUAGUUCCCUGACCAGGGAUAACACUCAUGCCCUCUGCAGUGGAAGCGUGGAGUCCAAUAACUGGACUACCAGGGAAUUCCCUCAAUAUUUCU